CAUGCAAGUCGAGGGGUAACAUUGAAGCUUGCUUCAGAUGACGACCGGCGAACGGGUGCGUAACGCGUAUGCAACCUACCUUUCACAGGGGGAUAGCCAUUAGAAAUGAUGAUUAAUACCCCAUACGAUCUCUUAACAGCAUUGUUUAGAGAAGAAAACUCAGGUGGUGAAAGAUGGGCAUGCGUCCUAUUAGUUAGUUGGAGAGGUAACGGCUCACCAAGACAUCGAUAGGUAGGGGCCUUGAGAGGGGGGUCCCCCACACUGGUACUGAGACACGGACCAGACUUCUACGGGAGGCAGCAGUGAGGAAUAUUGGACAAUGGAGGAAACUCUGAUCCAGCCAUGCCGCGUGCAGGAUGACAGCUUUAUGAGUUGUAAACUGCUUUUAUACAGGAAGAAACCUCAGCACGUGUGCUGAGCUGACGGUACUGUAUGAAUAAGGAUCGGCUAACUCCGUGCCAGCAGCCGCGGUAAUACGGAGGAUCCAAGUGUUAUCCGGAAUUAUUGGGUUUAAAGGGUCCGUAGGCUGUUUGAUAAGUCAGGGGUGAAAUCCUACAGCUCAACUGUAGAACUGCCUUUGAUACUGUCAAACUUGAGUUAUUGUGAAGUAAUUAGAAUGUGUAGUGUAGCGGUGAAAUGCAUAGAUAUUACACGGAAUACCAAUUGCGAAGGCAGAUUACUAACAAUAUACUGACG
RNAcentral lists this ribosomal RNA (696 nucleotides) under uncultured bacterium. RNAcentral's name for it is "bacterial SSU rRNA". It matches the Rfam family "Bacterial small subunit ribosomal RNA", at positions 54 to 745 of the family's 1533-position model. The record is from RNAcentral.